This is a long non-coding RNA of Nicotiana attenuata, 584 nucleotides long. RefSeq lists it as uncharacterized. The record is from RefSeq and is a predicted model, not a curated record. The transcript has 2 exons. Lineage: Eukaryota; Viridiplantae; Streptophyta; Magnoliopsida; Solanales; Solanaceae.
AUAUGUCCUUUAAUUUCAUCAACAAAUAAUUAGCUCUUCUUCUCAAAAUUUUCUCCUACUCCAAACUCUUGUUAACAUGACUAAAAAGUGCCUAUUCUUUUUUUAUGUUCUCUUUGUGGUACUAACAGUUCAUUCGUUUUGGUCCUCAAACACUCGAGCAAUGGCUUUGCGAGACUUACCUUUUGAAGUAGAGUUCAUUGAAAAGAUUCUGCUACCAGAUAGUCUUACAUAUACUCAACGUUGUUGGGAUCGUUGUGAAAUUAAUUUUGAUUGCAGAAAAUUGCCAGGUUGUGGGUAUUGUAGACGGCAGAGUUCUAAAUCGCCGUUUAAGCGAUGCUUGACUCCACGUUGACCGAUUUGAAUCUCAUAUCGUUACAGUCAGAACUCUCUGUAACAACAUCCUUAUAUAACUCAUUCACUAUAAAAACAAGUUUUUCUUGGUACCGAUUUUUAUAUUUUGUUAUAAUAUAUGUUUUUUAUAAUAACAUUUCAAACAAACGAGACUGUUAUAGAGAAGUUUGACUGUAAAAUAUUUUAAUUCUAUUACCUUUUUACUUUUAAUUACCAGCUCCUUUUCCUUCUGA